Long non-coding RNA from Vigna angularis (adzuki bean), 1297 nucleotides. RefSeq lists it as uncharacterized. The transcript has 2 exons. The record is from RefSeq and is a predicted model, not a curated record. Lineage: Eukaryota; Viridiplantae; Streptophyta; Magnoliopsida; Fabales; Fabaceae.
UCAAAAUGGUAUAAAAAAUUAUGUAUUCAUAUUUCUUCUUCAUAAAAAAAUUCAACAAAGCACAUUUUAAAUGUAUUUUAAAAUAAUAAUAUAUUCACAUUUUAUUAAAAAUAAUUAAUGUAUACAUUGAGAAAGAGAUGUCUUCUCUCUAUAUAUAGAGAGAGAAAGGAAAAAAAAAGAGAUUGACUAAUUUAUAGGCUGGAUUAAUAAUAGAACGGAUAAAACUAUAUUCUAUAAAAAUUUAUCAAUACUAAAUAUAGUUGAAAUAAUUUGAUAUUUUGAAGUACUUCUCUGAGGGAGAGGGAGAGAGAGAGAGAGAAAGGGCUGAUGGGAUGAUGAUGAGAUACAGCUGUAAGGUGUGGUGGGUUUUGGGACCCUUGGCUUGCUUGCAGUUUGCACAAUAAUGGCAAAAGGAAAAAAAUGUAAUGAUUUGGAGUUUGAUUAUCUUUUUGGCUGCUCUUCUCUUCUUUCUCUUCAAUUCAACCCUUUUCUCAUUUCAUCAAUUGAUGGGAACUGCCAAUGCCCCCUCUUCUCAUCAUUACUACUUUUCUUAAUUAUUUCUACCAAUCAUACAACUUACAACAAUAUAUUCCUUAAUCAUUUUUUAAAUCUAAAAUAUUUAAAUUAAUAAUCAUACGUCAUCUUUCAUUUUAAGACUCUUCACUUACGCUGCGUUAACUCAAGGGUAAAUUACUGUUUACGCAUUAUUGGGAGUAAGAAAUGUAAGACAAAACUGUGUUCACAUUUGAGGAUUUGCGAAGACGGAAUCAAACGGAUUUGCGAGAUAUCUGAUUUUUCUAUCACUCGCUCUUAUGAGAUGAUUUGAUCGCUCUUAUGAGAUGAUUUGGGGUGAAUUGAAGGCCUUCGUUGCAGCAUAGUGUACGCUUGGAUUCAGUUUCAGGAUACGUUAUUCGGUUCAAGCAAGCUUCACUCAUUUUCCUCAGCCGCCUGUGCCGACCACCACCGAAAGGUGUGGUUAUUCGGUAGUUCAUCAAAGAAACGCGCCUGCCAUGGCGAGAACAACGUCAGGUGGCACAAUAACGAUUCACCACCCUUCCCUUCUCCGGCACACCUCAGCCCUUGCUCCUGCCGAUCGCCGCUUCCUCCAUCGUUCUCCGCAGAGACAGCAAAUGUCGUCUUCCCUCGCCCAAGGAUGCUGCUACAGCCACCACCCCAUGGCUGUCGGAUGCGGAGGUCGAUUUUUUAAUUUGUGCUUUCUUUGGUACCAAGGCAAAGGAAAUAAUAUUGCGAACUAAGCCAUGCUUGGAAUGAUAUAAAAAAUGAGAGAUUUGCAUUC